This 497-nucleotide ribosomal RNA is filed under the name uncultured bacterium. RNAcentral describes it as "partial 16S ribosomal RNA". It matches the Rfam family "Bacterial small subunit ribosomal RNA", at positions 28 to 507 of the family's 1533-position model. The record is from RNAcentral.
GAUGAACGCUGGCGGCGUGCCUAAUACAUGCAAGUCGAGCGAACAGACGAGGAGCUUGCUCCUCUGACGUUAGCGGCGGACGGGUGAGUAACACGUGGAUAACCUACCUAUAAGACUGGGAUAACUUCGGGAAACCGGAGCUAAUACCGGAUAAUAUAUUGAACCGCAUGGUUCAAUAGUGAAAGACGGUUUUGCUGUCACUUAUAGAUGGAUCCGCGCCGCAUUAGCUAGUUGGUAAGGUAACGGCUUACCAAGGCAACGAUGCGUAGCCGACCUGAGAGGGUGAUCGGCCACACUGGAACUGAGACACGGUCCAGACUCCUACGGGAGGCAUCAGUAGGGAAUCUUCCGCAAUGGGCGAAAGCUUGACGGAGCAACGCCGCGUGAGUGAUGAAGGUCUUCGGAUCGUAAAACUCUGUUAUUAGGGAAGAACAAAUGUGUAAGUAACUAUGCACGUCUUGACGGUACCUAAUCAGAAAGCCACGGCUAACUACGUG